This is a long non-coding RNA of Rosa chinensis, 611 nucleotides long. RefSeq lists it as uncharacterized. The record is from RefSeq and is a predicted model, not a curated record. Lineage: Eukaryota; Viridiplantae; Streptophyta; Magnoliopsida; Rosales; Rosaceae. The transcript has 3 exons.
CUCCCCUUCUCCUUAGUGUGUACCAAUGCAUUAAUUGAAGCCCUUAUGGGUCUUUCUCUAUUUAUUAUUUCAAAUUUACUUAGAUUACUUUUGAUGCUUCCUGCUUGAAUGAUUUCAUAAAAAAGUUAGUAAUGAUAGAAAGUUUCUUGUUUCUUUUUCUUAUCUACAAGAACUCAGUCGUAAGCUUGCAGGAAUUCAAUGGAUGGACAGCUCAAGAUAUUCUUGAAACUCCAAGCAGCUCAAUUAUAAAUAAGUUCUAUAGCAGUUGACAGAGGACUCAGCUCAGGAGGGCCAAGCCUGGAGCAUGUGGAGGAAGAUAAACAGCUCAUGAAUGGCGAAGUCCAAUAUAUUAGAGAAGAAGGAUGUUAUUGGAGCUUCCUGUGGCUCCGAGAGGCACAAGGGGAAAUGAUAAGAAAAUUAGGUGAAUGAAAGUAAUCGACCUGCAACUAAUGAAGCUUCAGGAGCCUGGACCUCUUUGUUUAAUGUAAAUUGCACAAGCAGUGGUAGCAGCUCUGGAAGUAUCAAUAGUUCUGCGAAAAAGGAGGAUGUGGAUAUUGAUUGCUUGGACUAUGAAGUCUUAUGGGAAGACAUGAUAAUUGGAGAGAGGAUUG